Molecule: ribosomal RNA, 450 nt
Filed under: uncultured bacterium
Lineage: Bacteria
Description: partial 16S ribosomal RNA
Rfam family: Bacterial small subunit ribosomal RNA
Source: RNAcentral
GUUAGGAAUAUUCGUCAAUGGGGGAAACCCUGAACGAGCAAUGCCGCGUGAGUGAUGACGGUCUUUAUGAUUGUAAAACUCUGUUGUAUGGGAAGAACACUAGAUAUAGGAAAUGAUAUCUAGCUGACGGUACCAUGCCAGAAAGCCCCGGCUAACUACGUGCCAGCAGCCGCGGUAAUACGUAGGGGGCGAGCGUUAUCCGGAUUUAUUGGGCGUAAAGCGUGUGUAGGCGGUUUAUUAAGUAUAAGAUUAAAGCCUGGGGCUUAACUCCAGUUCGUCUUAUAAACUGGUAGACUUGAGUGUGGUAGAGGCAAAUGGAAUUUCUAGUGUAGCGGUAAAAUGCGUAGAUAUUAGAAGGAACACCGGUGGCGAAGGCGAUUUGCUGGGCCAUUACUGACGCUGAGACACGAAAGCGUGGGGAGCGAAUAGGAUUAGAUACCCCAGUAGUCC